GACGAACGCUGGCGGCGUGCUUAACACAUGCAAGUCGAACGGGCCCGCUCUCGUUUUUGGGGGAGGGAUGAGUGGCGAACGGGGGAGUAUUACGUGAGUAACCUGCCGCCUGCUCCUGGAUAACUGCUUGAAAGGGCGGCUAAUACGGGGUGUGCCCGGUGUUCCGCAUGGGACUGGUCGGGAUAGGUUCGUUUUCGUGUGAUUCGGUGGGGGAUGGGCUUGCGCUGUAUCAGCUAGUUGGUGGGGUGAUGGCCCACCAAGGCGUGGAUGGACGGCCGGCCUGAGAGGGUGAGCGGCCACACUGGGACGGAGAGACGGCCCAGCCUCCUACGGGAGGCAGCAGGAGGGAAUGUUCCGUGAUGGGCGAACGCAUGACGGAGCAAGGGCGGGUGAGUGAAGAAGGAUUGCGGUCCGGAAAGCUCUGUUGUUAGGGAAGAAUGAAUAUGUAGUAAGUUGACACGUGAGUGACGGUACCUGACCAGAAAGCCACGGCUAACUACGUG
Molecule: ribosomal RNA, 503 nt
Filed under: uncultured bacterium
Lineage: Bacteria
Description: partial 16S ribosomal RNA
Rfam family: Bacterial small subunit ribosomal RNA
Source: RNAcentral